RNAcentral lists this ribosomal RNA (523 nucleotides) under Decipisagitta decipiens. RNAcentral's name for it is "small subunit ribosomal RNA". Lineage: Eukaryota; Metazoa; Chaetognatha; Sagittoidea; Aphragmophora; Sagittidae. The record is from RNAcentral.
CUUAAUUCAUUUAAAUUCAUCGGUCUCUUGUCGAGAAUUGAGCUUUAAUUAUUCAGAAUUUAUUUUUUAGGGGUUAAGCAUGUGCCAGCAUCCGCGGCUAUACCUGUCCUCCUGUUAUACUAUAGUAAUUCUAUUGUACUAUUAGUAUUAAUAUUUAAUAAAAUUUUUAAGGCUGUAAAUAAAAAGAGAUUAGAUACCUCUGUAUUUGUCUAUAGCAAUAUUAAGCAGUUAAAAACUUAAAAGACGUGGCAGGACACCUUUUAUUUAGGCUCUUGAUCUAAGAUAACCCGCUAUUUUAUUUAGUUUUGGUAGUGUAUUGCUGUGAGUUUCUAAAGCGAUUUUGAAUUUAUCAAGCCCUAAUGCUUUUCUCUAGAGAUUUUUUGAGAGACUAGGAUAAAUAAGUAUAUUUCAUGAUAGAAAUAGUCUGUGUCUGUACAUAUCGCCCGUCACCUCCACUUAAUACUGGAGAAAGUCGUAACAAAGUAACACUAAUGGAAAUUGGAGUUCAUUUUUUUUAUUUUUU